GCCCCCGCCGGGAUAGCCCAGGGAAACCUGGAUUAAUACCGGAUGAGACGGGACCCGCGAAGGCGGGACCCGGGAAAGGCGCUGCGGCGCCGCCGGGGGAUGAGUCUGCGUCCCAUUAGCUAGACGGCGGGGUAACGGCCCACCGUGGCGACGAUGGGUAGCCGGCCUGAGAGGGUGACGGCCACAUUGGAACUGAGACACGGUCCAGACUCCUACGGGAGGCAGCAGCUAAGAAUCUUCCGCAAUGGGCGAAAAGCCUGACGGAGCGAACCGCCGCGUGAACGAAGAAGGCCGUGAGGUUGUAAAGUUCUUUUCGGGAGGGGGAACAACCGUGGCAGGGAAUGGCCGCGGGAUGACGUGAAUCCCGGAAUAAGCCCCCGGCUAACUACGUGCCAGCCGCCGC
This 403-nucleotide ribosomal RNA is filed under the name uncultured bacterium. Its description in RNAcentral is "bacterial SSU rRNA". It matches the Rfam family "Bacterial small subunit ribosomal RNA", at positions 129 to 518 of the family's 1533-position model. The record is from RNAcentral.